CAAAGUGCUAACCGGAAUGCCGGGAGCUGCGACCGGUAAAACGCCGGCACAGGCAGUCCUAGGACAGAGAAAGCGACGGCCCCGCGCGACCCUGAAACUUUGCGCUCGGCGCAAUUACUGGCACCGCAAUCCGAAAACUAUCCGGUGGGCGCUGCUAGUGAGAGUCGUGCUGAGAAACGGGCGGCUGGUCGCAAGGAGCGGCGCUGCCACCGAGGAACACCUGGCUUGGCCCAAGGAGACGAGCUGCCAGCCAGACCCGCGGUUUUGUCGAAUCCAGCGGGACUGGGACCGCAACAUCCUGCAGAACGAAAAGAGGAGCGCUGCCAGCGAAAUACACCCAGCUCUGCGCAACCGGUGCUACCGCGACCCACAAGGCGCCAGCCAGGCUCUGCCGGAAACCGCGGCCUACAAACCUCGGCCGGUGCACCUAGUGGCGCCAAGGCUGACAAACGCCCACGCGGAGCGCCUACUGGUGCUGGGACCAGCAAGGGCCAGCACGCAGCACAGAGCAGUGCAGCGUCCCGGAAACAUCCGGCUCUGCGAAGGGAGCGGUGCCGCCCCCAAGGCACCGACCGGGGCUGGGCGCUGCCGGCGAAAGUACUAACGAGAAACCGCCGCCUCGGUUCACCCUUCGGAGCCGCGCGCGCGAUCCGCUGCUCGGAGGAAAGAGCGGUGCUGGGGCGCAGCAAAUGGCUGUCGUGAAUCAAAGACAAGCAUCCGUCUUCGCGGGAUCAGCUGUGCUGCCAGCGAGUAACCACCAGCUCCGACAAUGAGCGGCAGCGCCAGUGGGAAACCGUCGGUAUCUGAAAUGAGCGGUGCCGCCGCAAAUAAACUGGCAGCUUGGUGCUACUCGUCAAAGCGCUGCAGAUGCCUCCACGACAUGGCUGAUGAGUGGAGUAUGUCUGCACCCAAGACCUGAACCUGUGAACCCGGACACCAAAGUGGAGCGUGCAGAAGUUCAACCACUCAGCCAUGGGCCAGCCCCCAUGCUCAUGAUUUUUAGAUGAGAAAAAGAUAAAUGUAAAAGAAAAGAACAAAUUCCCCUUGACAUUUCAUCUUAAAAUUUUAGCAUUCCUUUCUUAUAAGCCCUUUCACCAAGGAUUAAAUAAGUUAUUUAAAUCAAAA
Molecule: long non-coding RNA, 1125 nt
Filed under: Equus asinus (donkey)
Lineage: Eukaryota; Metazoa; Chordata; Mammalia; Perissodactyla; Equidae
Description: lncRNA (ENSEASG00005026786.1)
Source: RNAcentral